Molecule: ribosomal RNA, 446 nt
Filed under: Apogonalia blanchardii
Lineage: Eukaryota; Metazoa; Arthropoda; Insecta; Hemiptera; Cicadellidae
Description: partial large subunit ribosomal RNA
Source: RNAcentral
UUCUGCCCUAUGAUUAUUUAAAUGGCUGCAGUAUUCUGACUGUGCAAAGGUAGCAUAAUAAUUAGUCUUUUAAUUGAAGGCUUGUAUGAAUGAUUUAAUGAGGGAUUUAUUUUAUUUUUAUUAUUAUUAAAAUUUAAUUAAUAAGUAAAAAAGCUUGUUUGUUUUUUUGGGACGAUAAGACCCUAUAGAACUUUAAUUUAUAUAUAUAUAUAUAUUAAUUUGGUUUAUUUUAUUUAUUUUAUAUUUUAUUAAAAUUUUUGUUGGGGUGACAAAUAAAUUUUAACUUUAUUUAUUUAAUUCAUUGUAUUUAUGUUUAUUUAGAUCCAUUUAUAUAUGAUAAUAAGAUUAAGUUACCUUAGGGAUAACAGCGUAAUUUUAGUGGUAAGUUCACAUUUAUAUUAAAGUUUGCGACCUCGAUGUUGAAUUAAGAUAAGAUUGAGGGGUAG